AUUGAACGCUGGCGGCAGGCCUAACACAUGCAAGUCGAGCGGAGCGGCGGACGGGUGAGUAAUGCCUAGGAAUCUGCCUGGUAGUGGGGGAUAACGUACGGCAACGGGCGCUAAUACCGCAUACGAUCAGAUGAGCCUAGGUCGGAUUAGCUAGUUGGUGGGGUAAAGGCCUACCAAGGCGACGAACCGUAACUGGUCUGAGAGGAUGAUCAGUCACACUAGAACUGAGACAAGGUCCAGAGUACGACGGGAGGCAGCAGUGGGGAACAUUGGACAAUGGGCGAAAGCCUGAUCCAGCGACGCCGCGUGGGGGAUGAAGGCUUUCGGGUUGUAAACCUCUGGCGCGAGCGAACGGGUAGCUGGAGAAGAAGCGCCGGCUAACUACGUGCCAGCAGCCGCGGUAAUAC
Molecule: ribosomal RNA, 407 nt
Filed under: uncultured bacterium
Lineage: Bacteria
Description: partial 16S ribosomal RNA
Rfam family: Bacterial small subunit ribosomal RNA
Source: RNAcentral